AGAUAACAGUGGAAGUGUCUUGCUUUGUUCGUGUGUCGUUUUUCAAUUUUCCUAGUUGAAUUGUGCAAGUCAAUAUAGUGUGCGUCGUAGGCUAGAUUUGUGUGCUUAAAAUCGAUCUAGGCCAGCCGACGGCUAUAUUUCCUUCCAAGCGCCAGGUCAGCGGAAUCCCCCGGACGAAAGACCCCGGCAACCGUCAUCUUGUCCGGUGGGAAGCGAUUCGUCCUCAUAUCGCUUUAGUGGGGAGUGUGGUCGUCCAUUGCCACCAUCGACCAAGCCGCCAUUGGAGACACGUGGAAGUCGCCAACCACCAUUCCUUGGCCCACGUGGUGGCCCUCAAUCGCCAACCGCCAGCGGCGGUAACAGCAGCGCAGGUACAGCAGAAGCAGUAAUCAUCUGGUGAGUCCGGCCCAAUUGUUCUUUGCUUGAAGUGUGGCGUCCGCUGAGCCGUUUCGUUGCUGCAUCGU
Long non-coding RNA from Armigeres subalbatus, 464 nucleotides. RefSeq lists it as uncharacterized. The transcript has 3 exons. The record is from RefSeq and is a predicted model, not a curated record. NCBI's taxonomy places the organism in Eukaryota, Metazoa, Arthropoda, Insecta, Diptera, Culicidae.